UCUAGGAUUAGAUACCCUACUAUGCUUAGCCAUAAACAAAGACGCACAGUCCGCCAGAAGAUUACGAGCAAAAGCUUAAAACUCAAAGGACCUGACGGUACCCCACACCAACCUAGAGGAGCCUGUCCCAUAAUCGAUAACCCGCGAUACACCUGACCACCCCUGGCCAACCCAGUCUAUAUACCGCCGUCGCCAGCCUAUCUUACAAGAGUAAUGGCAAAACAGUACAACACCGUACUAAUACGACAGGUCAAGGCGUAACUCAUGGGGUGGGGUAGAUUGGCUACAAUGCCCCACACCGGGCCAAACGAAACACACCAUGAAAUUGGAGUAUGAAAAUGAAUUUAGCAGUAAGAAGAAGAAGAAGGCUUUUCUGAAAAUAGUUCUGGGAUAAGUACACACCGCCCGUCACCCUCAUCA
RNAcentral lists this ribosomal RNA (420 nucleotides) under Uromastyx acanthinura (North-African mastigure). Its description in RNAcentral is "partial 12S ribosomal RNA". It matches the Rfam family "Bacterial small subunit ribosomal RNA", at positions 771 to 1408 of the family's 1533-position model. The record is from RNAcentral. Lineage: Eukaryota; Metazoa; Chordata; Lepidosauria; Squamata; Agamidae.